AGUGAGCGCUGGCGGUAGGCCUAACACAUGCAAGUCGAACGGCAGCACAGUAAGGGCUUGCUCUUACGGGUGGCGAGUGGCGGACGGGUGAGGAAUACAUCGGAAUCUACUUUUUCGUGGGGGAUAACGUAGGGAAACUUACGCUAAUACCGCAUACGACCUACGGGUGAAAGCAGGGGAUCUUCGGACCUUGCGCGAUUGAAUGAGCCGAUGUCGGAUUAGCUAGUUGGCGGGGUAAAGGCCCACCAAGGCGACGAUCCGUAGCUGGUCUGAGAGGAUGAUCAGCCACACUGGAACUGAGACACGGUCCAGACUCCUACGGGAGGCAGCAGUGGGGAAUAUUGGACAAUGGGCGCAAGCCUGAUCCAGCCAUACCGCGUGGGUGAAGAAGGCCUUCGGGUUGUAAAGCCCUUUUGUUGGGAAAGAAAAGCAGCAGGUUAAUACCCCGCUGUUCUGACGGUACCCAAAGAAUAAGCACCGGCUAACUUCGUG
This 492-nucleotide ribosomal RNA is filed under the name uncultured bacterium. Its description in RNAcentral is "partial 16S ribosomal RNA". It matches the Rfam family "Bacterial small subunit ribosomal RNA", at positions 29 to 507 of the family's 1533-position model. The record is from RNAcentral.